GAUGAACGCUAGCGGCAGGCUUAAUACAUGCAAGUCGAGGGGCAGCAGGUCUGUAGCAAUACAGAUGCUGGCGACCGGCAAACGGGUGCGGAACACGUACAGAACCUUCCUUCGAGCGGGGAAUAGCCCAGAGAAAUUUGGAUUAAUACCCCAUAGUACAUUGAAGAGGCAUCUCUUUAAUAUUAAAGAUUUAUCACUUGAAGAUGGCUGUGCGGCUGAUUAGGUAGUUGGCGGGGUAACGGCCCACCAAGCUACCGAUCAGUAACUGGUGUGAGAGCACGACCAGUCACACGGGCACUGAGACACGGGCCCGACUCCUACGGGAGGCAGCAGUAAGGAAUAUUGGUCAAUGGACGCAAGUCUGAACCACGCCAUGCCGCGUGGAGGAUGAAGGUCCUCUGGAUU
This 405-nucleotide ribosomal RNA is filed under the name uncultured bacterium. RNAcentral's name for it is "bacterial SSU rRNA". It matches the Rfam family "Bacterial small subunit ribosomal RNA", at positions 28 to 424 of the family's 1533-position model. The record is from RNAcentral.